Salvelinus fontinalis (brook trout) is the source of this 77-nucleotide non-coding RNA. NCBI's taxonomy places the organism in Eukaryota, Metazoa, Chordata, Actinopteri, Salmoniformes, Salmonidae. The record is from the annotation of a RefSeq genome assembly.
CCUUCGAUAGCUCAGUUGGUAGAGCGGAGGACUGUAGAUCCUUAGGUCGCUGGUUCAAUUCCGGCUCGAAAUCUGGA